GUUGUUUAUGUAAGAAUUUCAAGGCCACAACUCCAUAUUUGAAGUAAAGUGCUCAUAAAAUUAAUUGCAAGGUUUUGAGAAGCCAUCUGCAGCUCACAACUAGAUGAGUGACACAAUCAGAUGUGCGUAUGCAAAAAAAAGCCUGGAGACAUUGAACUAAGAUCAAAUUUAAUGUAUUAAAUAUGGUAGAAAGAAGAGAGAAUGAAAAAUAAUGUUAACAAUCUAGGUGAGGAAUUGCUGAGGAGACAAAUUAAGUAAAUCCUGUGGAAGGAAAGAAGAAAGGAGGAAAGAGGAUUGGAUGGAAGAAUCUCCACUUCUCAUAGGUGUAGUCCUUCCUUAGCCUGCUUUUUAAUGAGUGCUGCUAAAGCCCUUAGCCUGCCUGUUUACCCUUGGAGUGGAGCAAUGAACUGAAGAUAUUUGAGUGAGUUCAAGAGAGACUCAGAAGAGAAGAAUUGGAGGCAGCAAACAUAGACAGCACUUUUAAUGCUUUUCUCAUAUGCUGUAAGACAUGAAAGCAAUCUAUUGGGAUGAAAGCUGAAAGGAGAAGCGGGACAAGAGAAGUGAAUCCGUGGAAGACCCCCAAAAGAGGCUGCAGAUUCUUAGUGGACAGCUCUCAUAUCCCCUCCAGGGAAAAUGAUGAAAAAUGUCUUCAGAAAAAUAGCUUUAUGAAGGCAAGAGGACUUUUUGCACCUGCAAGACAUGUCUGAAAGCUCCUCAGGUCAAAACACAAGUAGUCAAGAGAUUUGUCCAUCUAAUUCAUCAUACUACUCUGAUCCAAGUGAGACCCACACUGGGUCAGCUCCAUCAAGGAGAAGAACAUUCCACCCACGUUUGGAUUCUGGAAUAUCAUCCUUGCUUCCAUCAGAUUCUUGUAAGUACCUCACUUGGCACAAGGUAGACAUGACGUUCAAGGAAGUCAACUGCGUUGCCCAAGAGUAAGAGAAGGAAUCUCUGAAGAAGAGCAACUUUUCAGACAGGUAGAGUGUGCCUUGCUCCCAAGGAAAAGAGUUCUUGAAAAAAACAAAUGGGAAACAUGGCUACAAGAAAACUGGGAAGACUGCAAGAAUUUGAACAUUUCAUUUCAGGGUUUGGGGGAUCCUUACCAAGUUGAAAAUUUUAACAGAAUUCUUAGAAGACUAAUUCGAGUUGAAACCCUCUGGUUAGUGGAUAAUUCACUGGUGGACUUAAGUGCCAUAAGAUUGCCAAGAGUAUUCUCCUGUUUGCCAAACUUAAAAAUGCUGGAUGGAAUCUUGAAGCUACCAGAAGAUUGCUUAUCACCAGAAACCAAUAUUUUUUCAAAAAUAUGCCUUGUAUCCUAAUGCAGUCUGUAUAGAAAGAAAGCAAUCAUCAUUGUUGCUAAAAGCUAAUAAACACAGGACAUGCAUGAUUAAAUAUUGCAGUUUAUUUUAUAUCUUUUUGCUUUUCUAAAUCAAGGUAGGAAAAUAUUUUCUGUAAAGGACCAGAUGGUAAACAUUUCAGGCUUUCUGGGCUAUAUGGUCUCUGUCACAACUACUCAACCCUGCCAUUGUAGUGCAAAAGCAGCCAUUGAUAAUAUGUAAAUGUAUGGGUGUGUCUGUGUCUCAGUAAAACUUUAUUUACAAAAUGA
Long non-coding RNA from Homo sapiens (human), 1606 nucleotides. Ensembl annotates it as leucine rich repeat containing 77, pseudogene. Its record names the gene LRRC77P. Lineage: Eukaryota; Metazoa; Chordata; Mammalia; Primates; Hominidae. The record is from Ensembl.